Molecule: ribosomal RNA, 88 nt
Filed under: Caerostris darwini
Lineage: Eukaryota; Metazoa; Arthropoda; Arachnida; Araneae; Araneidae
Source: RNAcentral
GUUCUCGUUAGAUCACUCGUUAAGUUAAGUAUCAUUGGGCGCGGUCAGUACUUGGGUGGGUGACCACCUGGGAACACUGCGUGCCGUU